This 497-nucleotide ribosomal RNA is filed under the name uncultured bacterium. RNAcentral's name for it is "partial 16S ribosomal RNA". It matches the Rfam family "Bacterial small subunit ribosomal RNA", at positions 28 to 507 of the family's 1533-position model. The record is from RNAcentral.
GAUGAACGCUGGCGGCGUGCCUAAUACAUGCAAGUCGAGCGAACAGACGAGGAGCUUGCUCCUCUGACGUUAGCGGCGGACGGGUGAGUAACACGUGGAUAACCUACCUAUAAGACUGGGAUAACUUCGGGAAACCGGAGCUAAUACCGGAUAAUAUAUUGAACCGCAUGGUUCAAUAGUGAAAGACGGUUUUGCUGUCACUUAUAGAUGGAUCCGCGCCGCAUUAGCUAGUUGGUAAGGUAACGGCUUACCAAGGCAACGAUGCGUAGCCGACCUGAGAGGGUGAUCGGCGACACUGGAAGUGAGCCACGGGCCAGGCUCCUACGGGAGGCAGCAGUAGGGAGUCUUCCGCAAUGGGCGAAAGCCAGACGGAGCCACGACGAGUGAGUGAUGAAAGUCGUCGGAUCGUAAAACUCUGUUAUGAGGGAAGAACAAAUGAGUAAGUAACUAUGCACGUCUUGACGGUACCUAAUCAGAAAGCCACGGCUAACUACGUG